Felis catus (domestic cat) is the source of this 285-nucleotide long non-coding RNA. RefSeq lists it as uncharacterized. The transcript is spliced from 2 exons. NCBI's taxonomy places the organism in Eukaryota, Metazoa, Chordata, Mammalia, Carnivora, Felidae. The record is from RefSeq and is a predicted model, not a curated record.
CAAGAGUCGAAUGCUUAAACGACCGAGCCACCCAGGCAUCCCCAACAUGGUUUGAUCAAAUCGUUUUUAUUACCUGGAACCAGAAACAACUUACAGGAUACCAAAGCACAAGUUAAGGAAAAUCAUCUGUGAUUCCAGUGGGAGAAGUGGGGAGAAAACAGUCCACCUACUUGCCUGGAAGAGCGUGUGGUCUAAACAGCUAUUUGACUCUGUAUCCAGUCUUCAACUAGUUGUAUUGACCCUAUGUUUUUUAAUACACUCUAAAUCUCUUUACCAUAUUGACAA